RNAcentral lists this ribosomal RNA (253 nucleotides) under uncultured prokaryote. Its description in RNAcentral is "partial 16S ribosomal RNA". It matches the Rfam family "Bacterial small subunit ribosomal RNA", at positions 524 to 776 of the family's 1533-position model. The record is from RNAcentral.
UACGGGGGGGGCAAGCGUUGUUCGGAAUUACUGGGCGUAAAGGGCUCGUAGGUGGCCAACUAAGUCAUACGUGAAAUCCCUCGGCUUAACCGGGGAACUGCGUCUGAUACUGGAUGGCUUGAGUUUGGGAGAGGGAUGCGGAAUUCCAGGUGUAGCGGUGAAAUGCGUAGAUAUCGGGAGGAACAUCAGUGGCGAAGGCGGCUAUCUGGACUAACACUGACACUGAGACUCGAAAGCGUGGGGAGCAAACAGG